AUUGAACGCUGGCGGCAUGCCUUACACAUGCAAGUCGAACGGUAACGGGCCUUCGGGUGCCGACGAGUGGCGUACGGGUGAGUAAUACAUCGGAACGUGCCCGAUCGCGGGGGGUAACGAGGCGAAAGCUUUGCUAAUACCGCAUACGAUCUACGGAUGAAAGCAGGGGACCGCAAGGCUUUGCGCGGACGGAGCGGCCGAUGGCAGAUUAGGUAGUUGGUGGGGUAAAAGCUUACCAAGCCGACGAUCUGUAGCUGGUCUGAGAGGAUGAUCAGCCACACUGGGACUGAGACACGGCCCAGACUCCUACGGGAGGCAGCAGUGGGGAAUUUUGGACAAUGGGCGCAAGCCUGAUCCAGCCAUGCCGCGUGCAGGAUGAAGGCCUUCGGGUUGUAAACUGCUUUUGUACGGAACGAAAAGCCUUCUUUUAAUACAGGAGGGUCAUGACGGUACCGUAAGAAUAAGCACCGGCUAACUACGUG
RNAcentral lists this ribosomal RNA (482 nucleotides) under uncultured bacterium. RNAcentral's name for it is "partial 16S ribosomal RNA". It matches the Rfam family "Bacterial small subunit ribosomal RNA", at positions 30 to 507 of the family's 1533-position model. The record is from RNAcentral.